Molecule: ribosomal RNA, 250 nt
Filed under: uncultured bacterium
Lineage: Bacteria
Description: partial 16S ribosomal RNA
Rfam family: Bacterial small subunit ribosomal RNA
Source: RNAcentral
UACGGAGGAUGCGAGCGUUAUCCGGAUUUAUUGGGUUUAAAGGGUGCGUAGGCGGAAGAGAAAGUCAGGGGUGAAAGUUUGCAGCUUAACUGUAAAAUUGCCUUUGAAACUUCUUUUCUUGAGUAUACAGGAGGCAGGCGGAAUGUGUUGUGUAGCGGUGAAAUGCAUAGAUAUGACACAGAACUCCGAUUGCGAAGGCAGCUUGCUAUAGUAUAACUGACGCUGAUGCACGAAAGCGUGGGUAUCAAAC